Molecule: ribosomal RNA, 117 nt
Filed under: Geobacillus thermodenitrificans NG80-2
Lineage: Bacteria; Bacillati; Bacillota; Bacilli; Caryophanales; Anoxybacillaceae
Source: RNAcentral
AGUGAUGAUAGCGGAGAGGAAACACCCGUUCCCAUCCCGAACACGGAAGUUAAGCUCUCCAGCGCCGAUGGUAGUUGGGGCCAGCGCCCCUGCAAGAGUAGGUCGUUGCUAGGCAAU